GGGUUGAUGUAAGUUGGUCGUGCCUCUGGUAUGCACUGGCCUUACUGAUUCCUCCUUCUUGAAGAACUGUGAUGUCAUUUACUUGGUGUUGCAGGGAAACAGGACUGUCACUUUGAAAAAUUAGAGUGUUUAAAGCAGGCUAACGCUUGAAUACAUUAGCAUGGAAUAAUGAAAUAGGACGUUUGAUCCUAUUUUGUUGGUUUCUAGGAUUGACGUAAUGAUUAAUAGGGAUAGUUGGGC
This 240-nucleotide ribosomal RNA is filed under the name uncultured Glomeromycotina. Its description in RNAcentral is "partial 18S ribosomal RNA". The stretch from base 42 to 240 matches the Rfam family "Eukaryotic small subunit ribosomal RNA", at positions 686 to 887 of the family's 1831-position model. Lineage: Eukaryota; Fungi; Glomeromycota. The record is from RNAcentral.